Non-coding RNA from Biomphalaria pfeifferi, 212 nucleotides. The record is from the annotation of a GenBank genome assembly. NCBI's taxonomy places the organism in Eukaryota, Metazoa, Mollusca, Gastropoda, Planorbidae.
ACGGUCUUGAGAUUUGAUAUCACGUUCGUGCGAUUUGAUAUUAUGUUCUGGCGUUUUGGUGUCACGAUCUUGCGAUUUGAUAUUAAGAUCUUGUGAUUUGAUGUCACGGUCUGGCGUUUUGGUGUCAAGUUCUUUUGUUCUGAUAUCACGUUCUUGUAAUUUGGGGUCACGCUCUCGCGAUUUGAUGUCACGUUCUUGCGAUUUGAUGUCAC